GCGAGCAGCAGUCGCAAGGUUGAUCCACUCGGCUGGUGUUAGAGAAGAAGGCUUCUUCGAUUUACUUCUUCAGCUAAUGUCGUUCGGGAAUAUCUUGCGACUGCAUUUGCUGCGAUGGCAUACCAGUUAUCAUUUGUUGGUCCUGGAUAACGAUUCCAACUACACUCUUCAUAUUUUUGGACCCCAAGGAACAGUGUUUAUAGGCAGAAGAUAUACGCAAUUCAAAAGGAACUUAAAAUGUACUGAUAAUUAAUCAGAUGGUUGUUGUGUCCAUGCAAUGUAUAUUCAUCAAAAUUCUGUAAUUUUAUAACAAAUUGCUUGUAUGAAAGUUUGUGAAAGAAAACAAUAAAACAGUGCUUGUUAUUGAA
This is a long non-coding RNA of Dalotia coriaria, 368 nucleotides long. RefSeq lists it as uncharacterized. The record is from RefSeq and is a predicted model, not a curated record. The transcript has 2 exons. Lineage: Eukaryota; Metazoa; Arthropoda; Insecta; Coleoptera; Staphylinidae.